GUCUUGGAGCCGUGUGACUUGCAAAAGGCCCAGUUAAAAGGGACUCAGAUGAGGCCUUGGAGCCUGCAGCUUCACCCAGGAGCACCUGUGAGUGGUGCGAGAGGGGCAGACAGUGAGAACAGAGGGCUGGGGCCUGGGGAAGUUCUUGGGAGCCCCCGUCGCCCCUUCGUGCUUUCUCUCCCCUUGGUGCUUUCACAACCUCUUUCCAGGUGUGCUGGGUGCCCAGGGGCUUUCGCUUUCCCAGGGUCUGGAUUUCCGGGUUGUGCCCCUGUUUUAUCUUUACUGGGUUUCUCCCAACGGUAAGGUAUGUUUCCUUCAUUUUCCAUUCCAGCAGGAUACUGCUUUUGGCUUGCUGUCCAAUGCUGGGGAAAAUGAAAGCAUUAACUCACAAGGCAAGUUCCAAAGGUGCAGGGCGGCUUCUGGAAUAUAUGGCCCUGAGGGUAGCAGACACAUGGGAGGGAAGGUAUGAAAUCCAAAUAUGGAUUCUUAUGAGGAAUUUCAGGUAUUCUGGCAGGCUGACAGCUGAAAUAUUUAAUUGAAAAAAUAUUUCCCAGCUUCCUCAAUUCACAGCACAGAGUUCUGCCCUCUCAGCCUAAACAAGAGGCAGGCCCUCCUGGUGGCUGCCCCUCUCCUGAAUGCCUCACAGGAGCCUGUCUCAGUCUGGGGCUGUGCUGAGCUACCUCUUAGCAGUUUCUUUAGUCAUUUUAAGGUAGGGUUUCCUGGGUCAGCCAGAGACGUGCAUAUCUAAAAGUCUCUUAUGUCUGCAUGGCUAAAGGCUCAUGAUUUGUAAGGCUAAUGAGGUUUAUAGAACAUUUAACAGAGUUUUUUGAAAAUUUGGAAACAAUGCAGCCGUUAUCUUUGAGAGCAUCCUUGCCCUUGAGUUUCCCAGCUGAGAUCUCCUCCCUGGGGUCUGGCUUCUCUCAUCUCUUUGAAUUGCACACAGGCUUCCAGUGGACAGCACCUGCUGCUCUGCCAGCCCCAGCCAAACCUCUCCUUGCUCAGUUUUAUCCUGUUCCUAGGAGGAAACUGGUCUUUCCUUGGCCUUAAUAAAAGCCCAAAUCCAUGCACUUCACAAGACCAGUCCCCAGCUGGCCCUUUUCCAUGGUUUAGAAUCUUUGGCCAAAAGUUGACUGUGUUUGUCAUCUCCUGCUGGACUGUCGGCUCUGGGGCUAGAAAAGCCUGGAGAGAUGGGUAAGAGCCAGGACAAAGAAACAGAAGACUUUUCUUGCAAAGAAUAAAAGGAAAGAAAGGGGCCACAAGCCAAGGCCUCUGCCGCAGCAUCUAACAGCUGGAAAAGGCAAAGAUACGGGAUCUCCUGGAGCCUCGAACAGGAGCCAGCUCUGCAGACACCUUGAUUGCAGCCCAGCAAGGCCCAUGUCAGGCCUCUGGCCUCCAUAACUUGAUAAUAAAGUUGUGUUUUAGUUCUUUGUUACAGGAGCAAUAUGGAGAGGGACUAAUGAACUGCCAUUGUAUUAAACCACUGGCAAUCAGAGUUGUUUGAUAAAGCAGUCAAGUCAACCUAAGUAAAACACUUAAGGACCAAGAAAUAAAGUCCUCACUUGAGGAUAGUGAGAUCUGAGAGCAGUAAAGCCACUUCCUUCUCGUGAGACCGACCCCUCUUGCAGACCUGCCUCUGGCCUGGCCCCAUGGAGUGGCAGGCCCCGGUCCUCCGCUCUUCGGGUCACAGGUGGCCCAGCAGGCUCUGCGCACAGCAUUUCGGCAGCACAGCAAUGCCUAACUUAAUACUCACUCCGGGAACAAGCCAGCUGCAAGCUGUCAACGCUAAGUCCCCCUAAUGCUUUAAUUGGUACUUACUCUAGUAAGUUCAUUUAAAAGUCCCCACCUCUGCCAGAUGCACAGUGAAGCUGACCCGACAAGAGGGCCUGACGGUGGCAGAGCAAUGUGAUAAUUAAUGCGUCCUGCUUUCCUCUGCUUGAAUUAAUGUUUUCAUGUCACUUAGACAUCACUCCUGGAAACCUUUCUGGUUUUCAGUAAUCAGCAGUUCUCCAUCCCAGAACCCAGUAGAUGAUCAAUAAGUGGUUGCCGAGUGAACGAAUGGCUGAGUCAGAGAUCUCGAAGGGUCAGAUUUCACUUGGUUCAAACCCCAACCAGUCUCUGAGAAACUGAGCCAGGGAGGCCUCAGGAGGCCUCGAGACGCCAGGGUACGAGCUAACUGUGGCUGGGAAGGUUGUGUAAAGAGGAAUACAAAGCAGCCUGGGCAUCCCAAAUGCUGCCACAGACGUGUCAGAGUGGCUAGGAGCCAUGGCCUGCACCCAGGCAGGGGCCACUCCCCAGCUGUGGGAGCAGAAGGGGCCCAGCACAGCCGGCCGCGGAGCCCGCAGGAGCCCCGGUACUCGGGAGGAGCCGGACGCCGACUCCAGCAGCGCAGACGCCGCCGGGGAGGCCCGUUGAGGAGCGCGCAGCUGAGUCCCGGUAGAGGAGGCGCCGGCCUGGAGAGGCUGGGGGCGGAUCCGCUGGACCAGGCGGGGUAGCGAAGGGUGGAGUUGCACAGAGCGGCCUCGAGUCCGGACUGGGGAAGGCUCAGACAGGGGGUGGAACAAAGGCCAGAAAGGAGGCGGGGGUCAGACCGGGGCUGGAUCAUGAAGGCGGCAGAGAGCUCGGAGGGAGCCCAACAAGGCCGUGCUGCGGCCCGGUUUUCCUUCCGGUGCUGAGGAUGGCGGCGGCCUGGUUUUCCUUCCGGUGCUGAGGAUGGCGGCGGCCUGGUUUUCCUUCCGGUGCUGAGGAUGGCGGCAGCCGCGGGACGGUGCUGAGGAUGGCGGCGGCCAUGGAAGGUGCUCCCUGCUUCUGCGCGGAUCCAGGCCUUCGGGAUCUCGCCCUCUGCAGUGCGGAGAACUCACUGGACGGAGACGAGAGAGGCGGCGGCGGCUGCACAGCUGGUGCGUGGGGACUGGGGGGCGGGUGAGCGCUGUCCUUGGCUGGGGAGGAAGCGCAGCCCCCGGAAGCCCGCCUGGGGCUGCAGGGAGAAAGGAGGGCGCCCCAGAGCCAAGGCUGCCCGCUGGUCCCUGCGACCGGGGCCCGGAGAAAGUGCGGGAAGGAGAGAGAAGGCUGGUGGCCGCCUGCCUCCAGGGCGGGCCUCCGAGCAGUGCCCUGUCCCAGCCACAGCCUUGCUUCUUUUGAUCCUCAUCACGACCGCUCUCCGGGCCAGGCCGUGGGUGAGGCCCCCAGGCCUUCAGGGGAGAAGCCGGGGUCUCCAGAGAGAGGUAACAGAGUGAGAACGGCCGUGGGUAGCGCGCCCCUCGGCCCCGCAGCUCUCCACAGGCCUCUGGCGAGCUCAGCUGACCUGCCCCAUCAGUGAGGUCUCUGCUCAGCUACCACCUGCUCUGAGAAGCCUUCUCUGCCAGGGUGACUCAUUACCCUGAUUUGCCAGGACUGAGUGGGUUCCUGGAGCGGCCUGGGAGCCGGCGGCGGUGGUGGCUUUCCUGAGCCCUGUUUGUCUAAUGUAGGCCCGGUUCGCACUGUUCAUUCACUCUGCUCCUCAGUUACUUUACGGCAAUUAACACCAAUCUGUUCUCAAAACGUGAGGUCCUCUUGCUCAGGGCUGUGUUCCUAGCACGCGGCCCUUGCCUGACACACGGCUGACAUUCAGCGCACAUUUAAACGAGUAGAUCAACUGCUCCAUCUUCCCCCAGAAGCUCUGUCUGUCCCUCCACAACUUGGCUCAUGCCAUCUCUUCCAUAAGCGCCGUGUGCUCUUCUCUCUCAGAAAAAAACUAUUUGUUUCUUGACAGCUCAGCUCAAAUAUCAGCUUCUCUCGACCCCAGGCACGAGCGUGGGUCCCGAAACCCUGGUGCCCUCCACAGUGUGUGUUCAGUAAAUGACUCUACGUUUAUCCCUGUAGCUGCCAGUGUUAUCAACUUUGGCCUAUGUUUUCUGAAUUAUUUUUGAAUCUUUAUUUUGUAAUCCAAUCUAUUAGUGACCCAUAACAGGCCGUGUCAUCCACAAUUAAAUAAAUGUGCACUCUCUAUUCAUCUUGUUUUUAUCUAUUUAAAAUAGGCUGCACAAAACGGGGCUAAUAAAUGUCAUCUGUCAUGCAGUUGGAAAAGACAAAUGAGAUUGACCUGGGCAAAACAGACGUUCAGCGUGGGGAAUUAUGUUGGACAAAAGCUCCAAUCUCUCCUAUACUCAGAGAUUUUUCCUCUCUGCCCUCAUAGCCAUCCCUGCUCACCACAGUCCUCAUAUCCUUAAAGGGACACCCUAGUGAUUACUGACGCCACGACAUCUGCUCUGUUCUCCGAAACCAAAUCUGAUCUCCUUUCAUCUUAAAUACUGUAGGCAGCCACUUUACUCAUUCACUCAAUACAUACUUACUAAGCAUCUUGCAAUUUUGCAGACAUUGUACUGGACAUGGGGUUACAAAGAAGGAUGAGCUGUGGGUAGGGCUUUGCUUUGUGCUAUAUCCAUUCAGGUACGUGUCUUCAUCUAUACUCUGUCACUUGUGGCUUAGGCACAUUAUGCAGAACUUCUGAGCUUCAGUUUACCCACCUGUAAAAAUUGGGAUAAUGUGUCCUGUUUCACGUAGUUCUGCAGGUUAGGUGAUGCUAGGAAGCACCUAGCGCAGCGUUUGGUCCAUGACAGAGGUCCUUCAAUGCCCAUUCUCCUCCUGCUACAUGCCAGACUGUACAAGACGGCUUUCUCCCUUCCCUGCUGCAUCCAGCAAAGGCCUUGACCCCCGAGAGGUCUGCUGGGGUUUGUUGUUCUGAAUCGAGUUGGAGACGGGGUGUGAUCCCCAAGAGUUGGCUUCUUGCCUCCCUAGAGCAGGACUGUGCCUGUCUCACAGUCACGGCUUGGGGGACAAACACCUGCUGUUGAGGUGGGAGGUCUGUGGUCUUUUUGGAGGUCCCUUUGGGCAGGUUCAAGGUGCAGGAUCUCCCGUGGACUCAGAGCUGUGCAGGGCAGGGACUGGCUCCACAUGGGCAGAGUUCCUCCAAGCUAAUGGAGGGGGUGAGAGUCCCAGGCCUCCGUGGGUCCUGAGGUUGGUGUGUCCUAAUGAGGUGGCCUGUGAAGACCUGAGGGGCUUGGCCACAGCCCGUCUCUGGGGACCUAUUUUUUCAUCCCCUUUUCCAUUCUUCCCUGCCUUCUUCUGUCUAUUGCUUGUUCUACCUUGUUUCUGUGCCUUCUCUGUUCUCCAUCCCACUUCACCACAGCCCCUCUUCUCCUCCCUGGGUUGGGCUUCAGCUGCCCCAACUCCUGUACUUAGGUAAGUCCACCAAUGCCUGACGCUGUGCAAAGCACCCUGCAGAACAAACAACAAAUCUGUGUGCCCCAGUUUGGAAAAGCUUAUGACAGUCCCUGCAAAUUUCCACCUUUUCCCCCUUUUGAAUGACCAGCUUUCAGUGUCCCUUACCUCCUGCUCCCUCCGGCGCCCUUCCCACUUCCUCCCUCCCUCUCUGUCCCUCAUUACUCUGUCUCUUGAAGUGGCAUUGGAAUUCUAGAAAAGAAAUCUAUCUCACAUAUUACAGAGCGGCUUCUCCAAUGAUCUCAUUGCAAUGAUAUAAAUAUACUUAAGGCAAGUAAAAAGCUAUUUAAUGAAAUAAAUUAAGAAAAAUGUACAGGAAAGCCUUGAAUUUCAUACAAAUCAUUCAAAAUGAAUACUAAAUCUGUUGGCAGCAUGCAGCAUGCCUGCUCUCUAUUCGUAUAAGUUUUUAAAGCUUUGCAAAGUAAGAGACAGUGGAAUAUCUUGUUGUUUUUUGUACAUAUGAAGUUUUCUCCACCUCUGCUGUGCUCCACCAGAAACAAAAGAACACACUCAAUUUUCUUUAGACAGCCAAUUAAUCUGUGAAGACAUUGCAUUAACUCUGAAUGCAUUCAGUUUCUUUCACUUCUAGAUCACCACGGUCCUGAGAUGAGAGAUGGGUGAGGCCUUUUUCAGUGCUGGUCUUGGGCCAGGUGGGGAGUUGUCUGCCUUGGGCCUGAAACCUCUCUGGGAACAACUGAGCUGGGAAUCCCAACGGAGGCAUGGGGGAGGAUGGGGUGAAAUCAUGAGCCAAAGAGUAAAGGGACCUGCCUACACUGUUCUGGCUAAAGCUUAGCUGAAAUGGCAAAUUCCUGGUGGAAGGAUGAGGCUGGAGGUAAGAGACUAGCAUGGUGGUGGGGUGGGUGCUUAGAUAAGGGGAGGAUGACAGCCCUGGGAGUGGAGUCCAACUCUUCCAAUGCCCUUCAAACGCUGCCUCAAAUACGACCCUUCCUCCUCGCCUCACCAAACACACACUUUUUGGCUGACUCUAUUAUUAGAAGUUCCUUCGCCACACUCAGGCUUUUUAAUUCUCCACGCAUUUGCAUCUGGUGUUUUUUCCUCCCACAAUGUCCUUUCCCUGUGAUCUGCCGACUGCAGGUUUCUUUCUUGAAGGCUCAGCUGGAGUCACUUUCAUGAAGUCCUCCUGCAGCUUUGCCUCUCUGUGCCCUCACCGAGCCCUGGAGGACAGUCUUUCACCCGAGUGUCUCAUAUUUUAUUCUCUGCCCUCCUAUCUCACACUGUAUACAGAAACUAAUUCAAGACAGAGCACUGACCUAAAUGCCAGAGCUAAAUCGUAGAGCUUUUAGAGAUUUUUCAAGCUAUUAGGAAAUAUUUUUGAGACUUGGUGGUAGUAACUACUUUUUAGAGAGGAUACAGAAAAGAAUAUAUGUUUAAAUAAUAAAUUUACCUUGAUUAAAUAAAAAAUGUUGCCCAUCAAGGGAAUAUUCAGAAAAUGUACAGGUAAAUGACAAAAAAGGACAAAAUAUUCACAAAAUGCAGCCUAACGAAGAACUGGUAGCCGGAAUAUUGAAAGAACUACAAGUCAAUAAUAAAAAGACAAACAACCCAGUAAAAGUGGGGAAAAUAUUUAAAUAGAUACGUCACAAACAGAAUGUAUUAGUGGUGAAAGAACAUAUGAAGUAAGUCACAAAGUGGCUUCAUAUUAUGAUAUUCAAAAUGUUAAUUUUCAAAACUGUAGUUAUGAGGCAUGCGAAGAAGCAAGAAAAUAUGGUUAAUUUACAGGAAAAGAAAACAAAAUAGAAACUAUCCCUGAUGAAGCACAGAUAUUGGGCUUUCUAGAUAGCUUUUGAAUCAGAAGUCUUAAAUGUGCUCAAAGAAUUAAAGGAAACUGCAGACAAAUAACUAAAGGACAUGACUAGAAUAACGCAUGAACAAAUAGCAAACAUAUAAAGAGACAGAAAAUCAAAAUGAAUUGAUUAGGAAAGUGGCACAACAUAAAAUGAAGAAAGGUGGCUGAAUGGAACUCUCCAAUGACCAUCCUGCAGAAACAUCAAAUUGAACAACUAUCCAUGCAAGAAAGCCCCUUCAUAAUACUAGGUGAGAGAUCACAGUAUCUAGUUUUAGCAUAAGAUGGAAAGAUGUAUUGAAGUGGGUAGGAAGGCAGUUUCUCAUUGUCGACACCAUCCCUCCCCCAGCCCCAGGCAGUGCAUCAGGGAGAAAAAAUCUGUGUGCUUGGAUGAGGGAGAGCAAGGUGAGGAUGGGACUUUGCAUUAGAACUCAGAGCUCGUUGUCACAGUGGAACAGCCCACCAGGCCAAACUCCACUGACACCCGCAGAAGGGGCAUUUAGAUGAGCCCCGGGC
This 7576-nucleotide long non-coding RNA is filed under the name Homo sapiens (human). Its description in RNAcentral is "HSALNT0183891". Lineage: Eukaryota; Metazoa; Chordata; Mammalia; Primates; Hominidae. The record is from RNAcentral.